RNAcentral lists this ribosomal RNA (497 nucleotides) under uncultured bacterium. RNAcentral describes it as "partial 16S ribosomal RNA". It matches the Rfam family "Bacterial small subunit ribosomal RNA", at positions 28 to 507 of the family's 1533-position model. The record is from RNAcentral.
GAUGAACGCUGGCGGCGUGCCUAAUACAUGCAAGUCGAGCGAACGGACGAGAAGCUUGCUUUUCUGAUGUUAGCGGCGGACGGGCGAGUAACACGUGGAUAACCUACCUAUAAGACUGGGAUAACUUCGGGAAACCGGAGCUAAUACCGGAUAAUAUUUUGAACCGCAUGGUUCAAAAUUGAAAGACGGUCUUGCUGUCACUUAUAGAUGGAUCCGCGCUGCAUUAGCUAGUUGGUAAGGUAACGGCUUACCAAGGCAACGAUGCAUAGCCGACCGGAGAGGGUGAUCGGCCACAGUGGAACUGAGACACGGUCCAGACUCCUACGGGAGGCAGCAGUAGGGAAACUUCCGCAAUGGGCGAAAGCCUGACGGAGCAACGCCGCGGGAGUGAUGAAGGUCUUCGGAUCGUAAAACUCUGUUAUUAGGGAAGAACAUAUGUGUAAGUAACUGUGCACAUCUUGACGGUACCUAAUCAGAAAGCCACGGCUAACUACGUG